Long non-coding RNA from Canis lupus familiaris (dog), 2785 nucleotides. RefSeq lists it as uncharacterized. Lineage: Eukaryota; Metazoa; Chordata; Mammalia; Carnivora; Canidae. The record is from RefSeq and is a predicted model, not a curated record. The transcript is spliced from 3 exons.
UGUUGAGUUUGAUAAGUUCUUUACAGGUUUUGGAUACUAAGCCUUUAUCAGUGAGCUCCUUCUCAUCCUUGAAGACCCAACUCAAGUGACAACUCUGUGAAGGUCUCUCUCUUGUUUCCUAUGCUAAGCAGCCCCCCAGGGUGCCCUCUCCACCCACCUGCUGAAAGCCAGCAGCUCUUGCCUCCUCCUGCGGGGCUUUUGUUCCCUGUCAAGAAGCAAAGCACCAGUAAGAAAUAAUGUACGGAGCUGUGCGAGGCCAAAGAUGUUCAUCACCAGGUUAUUUAUGACGGUAAAUUUUAAAAUACUUGAAAUAUUCAACAACAGGAGGGGAAUUCACGUAUUUAUGGACUGAGAAGAAAGUCAAGAGUGACAUUUCAAGUUACCUACCAUGUAACUUGAAUUACCAUGGGUAUUUUCUUUGUAGCUUCUUUCUACAUUUUCCAAAUUCUCCACGGUGAGUUCGCAUCCCUUUUGCAAUCAGAAACGCAAUAUUUUGGAUUUUUAAAGAAAAGAAACACAGCCAACCUCCCUUUCUCAUCAUCUCCGUCUUCCACCACCCUGGCUGCCUGUCGCGGGCAGUUUCAUCUCUUCACUACGCUCGUUUUCCAGACAAAAACUCACACUCUGCCUUCUCUGUUUCCACUGAGCGCUCUAGGUCCAUAUGGAAUCAUUGUUUCCACUGGGAGCGGAUUUAGGGACGUAGAAUUUUCAGGUGCUCAAGGCCAUGGGUGGGUGGAGGGAGGGAACACCGGGGGCAAAACUAGACAGAGGCACAACCGGAGCCCCGCAGAUACCGGUGUCACCGUCCCUGCCGGCAGCUGUCCAGCUGAGUUCCCAGUUCCCAGCUUGAGGCCGCCCGAAAGUCAGUAAACAGAUGGAAUGGAAAGUGAGAGGAUGCGAGUGGGGAGGACACCGAGAACCCCCAGCCCACCCCACUCCCAACUGAGGACACCUACAAGUCCCUUCUUUUGUUAUUUAAGGUGACUAGGCCGGAUGCACCGCAUUCUGCUAAUUCAGGCCUGGUUGGCCAGCGUUGACUCAACCUUUCUGAUCCAAGGUCCAGUCGGUGGUGAGAAACUGUAUUCCUGUUUGGGGUUUAGAUAGUAUCCUGGUAGCAGGGGAGUAAGGCUCCUGCAGGCUGCCAUCACCUGCACACAUCCCCAAGGGGAUCAGGGUAAAUCAGGGAUACAGACCGUUAUUUGGCACCUAUUGGAUGGCGUGCCAUCUGGGCAGCCCAGCCCUGGAUAAAAGGGCAGGAGGACGGGCAUGGGAAGGGGCGAGACAGCCCGGGGGACGCUGGGGGUGAGCUCAGUGAGCCAGGCUUGCAGACAUUUGUGAGGACGAAAGCCUGGAGGAUGCCUUCAGGUGGGGCUUCCAGGCCCUGACUGAGCUCCACCCUUGGCUGGCUGCUUCCCGGCCCUGGGGGUCGCCUGGCCGCAGAGGGAAGGGAUGUGAGCGUGAGCGAAGCAACGAGGGACGCAGACUCCGAGGAGCCUCUGCCUGUUGCCUGGAAUACUUAGGGUACCUGAGGGCCAGGCAGUUCGAUGUCCCUGUCAUGUCAGCAAGAGAGGGCUACCGUCUAGUAGCUAGUCGGGCAGGACAAGGACAGGGACAGCGGAAACCAACACGCUUGUGCUCAACCAGGAGCAGACAGCACACCCGCGAGAGAGGGGGCUGCUUUGGGGGUGGAGGGACCAUGCGAGGCGCCCACUCUGGCCGUGGGUUCACUGAGGAAGGCCUCCCUCCCUCGCCGGCCCAUCAGCAGUGGUGGUGCCGGGGAGGGGGAGGCCCGGGCCCUCCCGGCGUGGUGUACCCUGCACUGUAAGGGUACACACUGCACUCUACGAAGUUCCAAGCAAGCAGACACUGGGCGUUUCCUUCACUGCUGUGUCUGAAGCCCCCAGUCAGUGUCGGAAACAUCCCAGAUGCCCGGAAAAUAUUUGCUGUCCAGAGAGAGAAACAAACGAAGUGGGAAACUACAAAUUAGAAAAUCUGCAAGAGAAUCUGCAAUCCUACCUCGCCCGAUGCAGUGUGACCUGCAUUCCAGGGCCUUUCCAAGUGACUUUGGGCAAAUGACUCAGAACCCGGUGUUUUGUUGGGUUUUGCUUUUUCAUCUAUAAGGUAGGGGCAAUAAUACAUUACAGGGCUCCUGAAGGGAUCGAAGGAGAUCAAGUAUACCAGAGUGAUUUGUAAAUUGUAAAGUGUGGAGAUGUUCGCUCUUUUGUGAUGAUGAUACGAUGAGGACAAUACCAGUGACGGUGACAAUGACAGUUUCCCUUAGAAGAAUGUGGGGGGAAAUGGUGAAGGAACUUUAGAGGAUCUAAGGUUGAUAGGUGGGACAGGAGUGAAUAUGUUGAUGGAAAGAAAAGUCCUAGAAACCAGAGACCCCGGUGCCGGAUUUGCUCCAGUGGCUUGUGUAACUAGUCAUCCUUCAUGAACACCACACGAGGGAAGCUCAUUUUAAGGCAAGGAGUAUCUUUGCUUCUGCUUUUCUGUUUUUUCUUUUUUUCCAAUGCAUCUUACAUGGUACAUUGCUCAUUCCAAGUAGAAAACAUUUGUUGGGGGAAGAAAUGGAUGAAUGUGGCGAAGAAGAAAUGAGAAUGUUGGUUAAGCAGAGAUUGCUCCCUGAAAGUAAUUUGUUCAAGCACAAUCAAAACUGAUCUUGUUGGGAUCCCUGAGUGGCGCAGCGGUUUGGUGCCUGCCUUUGGCCCAGGACGCGAUCCUGGAGACACGGAAUCGAAUCCCACGUCGGGCUCCCGGUGCAUGGAGCCUGCUUCUCCCUCUG